RNAcentral lists this ribosomal RNA (889 nucleotides) under Coniella javanica. Its description in RNAcentral is "LSU rRNA". It matches the Rfam family "Eukaryotic large subunit ribosomal RNA", at positions 24 to 925 of the family's 3401-position model. Lineage: Eukaryota; Fungi; Ascomycota; Sordariomycetes; Diaporthales; Schizoparmaceae. The record is from RNAcentral.
CCCUCCUGCCCCCGCCUGGGACUUAAGCAUAUCAAUAAGCGGGAGGAAAAGAAACCAACAGGGAUUGCCCCUAGUAACGGCGAGUGAAGCGGCAACAGCUCAAAUUUGAAAUCUGGCUUCGGCCCGAGUUGUAAUUUGCAGAGGAUGUUUCUGGCGCGGUGCCUUCCGAGUUCCCCUGGAACGGGACGCCAUAGAGGGUGAGAGCCCCCGUAUGGUUGGAUACCAAGCCUGUGUGAAACUCCUUCGACGAGUCGAGUAGUUUGGGAAUGCUGCUCAAAAUGGGAGGUAAAUCUCUUCUAAAGCUAAAUACCGGCCAGAGACCGAUAGCGCACAAGUAGAGUGAUCGAAAGAUGAAAAGCACCUUGAAAAGGGGGUUAAACAGUACGUGAAAUUGUUGAAAGGGAAGCGCUCAUGACCAGACUUGUGCUGGGCAGCUCAUCCGGGGUUCUCCCCGGUGCACUCUGCCCAGUUCAGGCCAGCAUCGAUUUUUGCUGGGGGAUAAGAACGGUAGGAACGUGGCCCUCCUUCGGGUGGGUGUUAUAGCCUACCGUACGAUACCCUGGCGGAGAUCGAGGUUCGCGCAUCUGCAAGGAUGCUGGCGUAAUGGUCAUCAGCGACCCGUCUUGAAACACGGACCAAGGAGUCGUCCAUUAGAGCGAGCGUUUGGGUGUAAAACCCGCACGCGUAAUGAAAGUGAAAUUAGGUGAGAGCUUCGGCGCAUCAUCGACCGAUCCUGAUGUUCUCGGAUGGAUUUGAGUAAGAGUUUUAACGGACGGACCCGAAAGACAGUGAACUAUGCUUGUAUAGGGUGAAGCCAGAGGAAACUCUGGUGGAGGCUCGCAGCGGUUCUGACGUGCAAAUCGAUCGUCAAAUAUGAGCAUGGGGGGCG